Molecule: long non-coding RNA, 1036 nt
Filed under: Macaca fascicularis (crab-eating macaque)
Lineage: Eukaryota; Metazoa; Chordata; Mammalia; Primates; Cercopithecidae
Description: lncRNA (ENSMFAG00000053393.1)
Source: RNAcentral
UAAAGAAAUCUGGAUCCAAAGUUGAAAGUUGCUGGCAAUAUCAUUCAAGUAGGACUCUAAAUAGUGGAUUAAGAUGAGGGUGGAUUCUUUCCAGCUUUAAAAGAAAGUGACUUCAAAAAUUGACUGCAAAUAUUGACGAUGGUUUCUGCUGGAGGAAAAGAAACAGCUUGAAUACAGACAGGCUUUUUUAUUACGGUACUGAUAUAUUGACCUUAAACUUGCUGAGGAACUGAACUAAUGUCUUCCAGUGACCGUGGAAUUCCAUCUCAGCUCCAGGAACAUGCAGAUACCUGCAAAGAGACACGCAUAUAUGCUGGCAUACAUGUGCAUUUGGUGUUGGGAAGUUGACCAUCUGGUCUACCUUAAUAAAAUGGUAAAAAGCACACAAAGACAAUGAUGGGGGCAGGAGGAUGUUUUUGAGAACAGCGCUUCUCAACCAGGGCUCGAUUUUGCCCCCCAGGAGACAUUUGGCAAUGCAAUGGCAACUUUUGGUUGUCGCCGCCGGGGAAGGGAAGCUACCAGCAUCUAGUGCGUAGAGGUCAUGGACGCCAUUAAACAUCCUACAGUGCAAGUGCAGCCUCCAACCACAAAGAGUUGUCUUGCUCAAAUAUCAACAGUGCUGCAGUGUAGAAACUUGAUAGGUGGUUUUCUGUUAAUGCAAAACUCUCAUAAAAACCUUUCACUUUUCCUGUUAUUGACUAUAUGCUUGAUACACCCAAAAAGAAAAGGGGAGGGGUGCCAAUUCACCUACACUGCAGUGGCUUCUUCACCUUUAAAAAUAUUUAUAAAAUAGUUACAAAAAUCUGAUAUCUGAAAAGCAAUCCAAGCCUGUGUAAAUGGGAAUCACUGAUAAGUAUCAUCAUCUGUAUGAGCUUGGCUUAGACAUGAAAAGUUGAUUCUCUUUAUAUCACUCCUUGCACCUGGACAAAUUCAAUCCCUGGUACUUAAGUCACACUGCCAAGCCCUCGGCCCUGACUAUUGUCUUGAUUGCUGUUGCUUUCUGGUUCAAAAUAAAAUCAUUUUUGUGGCACCAAGA